GACCUCUUUGUGUUCAUGCGGGCCUCGCCAUUUUACAGCGAGCUCGAAGUCAUAUCCUGAUCGAUGAGGUCGAACUCAAUAAACGGGUAGAGAGAAAUAGGCCCAUUCCAUUUAUGGCCCAAGUAAGUUGUUUACUUGUAUUGUUGGGAUUUGAGUCCAUGAUUUGGAUCCAAUACUAAUUCAGCAAAUCGGGAGCAACGGGUAGAGAGAAAUAUCGUUGCUCCCGAUUUGCUGAAUUAGUAUUGGAUCCAAAUCAUGGACUCAAGACAGUCACACUCUAUUGUAAUCAAAUCAAAACCAAAACAAGCUACUUAGAGCAGGAUUAUUGGGGACUCUGGACUCUUGAAGGGUUUCUUAGGGUAAUUUGUAAAAAAAAAAAAAGAUAUUAAUUUAAGAAACGGAUCUUAGUUAAAAGAGGAAAAGGAACCGGCUCUUGAGACACGUGUCUGUCUUCCAUCCUCUCCCCUUCUCUCCCCAUACGUCUAUCUGUCUCUCGUCGACGGCUUUGCUCAAGUCUUUCGUCGAUGUUGCUCCAGACUCCCACUUCCCUACCCAGAACCUCCCUUAUGGCGUCUUCAGGCCUGAUUCGAACUCCACUCCUCGUCCUGCUGUCGCUAUUGGAGAUUUCGUCCUGGACCUCUCAGCGAUCUCCGAAGCUGGGCUUUUCGAUGGUCUGAUCCUCAACGGCGCCGAUUGCUUCCUUCGGAGCGGACUUUCAUUGUGUUGGACAAAGAUUUCAUAAAGGGUGACUUGUCUCAUGGUGAACCUCAUGUAGAAGGUUUGUUUCCUGAGUUGCUUCCCUUGAGGAACUGGUGCAUAAAGAAGACUACUUGACCAUGCAUUAGUUUGUAGUCUUCUAUGUAGCUACUGUGACUAAGCGACUUGUUAUCAUUACUACUGCAACACCCUCUCUCUUUAGUUGUUAUAGUGGAAUUGUUCUUACAAUUAAAAUGGAAAUGAGAACAUAUCUACAAGUCUGCUCCUUUGUUAGUGGUCUAGAUCAUUAGUUAUUGGUUUGGCUUGAUUGUUUUCACGCUGAGUGAGUCACUGUAACAAGUAACCAAGCUUUUGUUUGCAGCCAUGACGAAGUUUUGCUAA
Brassica napus (rape) is the source of this 1098-nucleotide long non-coding RNA. RefSeq lists it as uncharacterized. NCBI's taxonomy places the organism in Eukaryota, Viridiplantae, Streptophyta, Magnoliopsida, Brassicales, Brassicaceae. The record is from RefSeq and is a predicted model, not a curated record. The transcript is spliced from 2 exons.